CCUGGCGGCUUUAGCGCGGUGGUCCCACCUGACCCCAUGCCGAACUCAGAAGUGAAACGCCGUAGCGCCGAUGGUAGUGUGGGGUCU
RNAcentral lists this ribosomal RNA (87 nucleotides) under Enterobacter cloacae. Lineage: Bacteria; Pseudomonadati; Pseudomonadota; Gammaproteobacteria; Enterobacterales; Enterobacteriaceae. RNAcentral also lists the same sequence under 10 other names. The record is from RNAcentral.